AGCGAACGCUGGCGGCAGGCUUAACACAUGCAAGUCGAGCGGGCACUUUCGUGUGUCCGCGGCGUACGGGUGAGUAACGCGGGGGAACGUGCACUCUGAUUCGUAAUGACGCAGGGAAACUUUAGCUAAUACCGGAUACGCCCGUUCGUGGGAAGGCUUGCUGCAGGAGGAUCGGCCCGAGUCUGAUUAGCUAGUUGGUGAGGGAACGGCUCCCCAAGGCUCGGAUAAGUAGCUGGUCUGAGAGGAUGGGCAGCCACACUGGGGCGAGGACACGGCCCGGAAUAUUACGCAAGGGGGGAGUGGCGGAUAUAGGAAUGCGGCGGCUAGGAUGAAGGCGCUAGGGCGGGAGAGUACUGAAGGCCUUAGGGUUGUCAAGCGCCUUAAUCCGGGCCGAUAAUGACGGUACCGGAGGAAUAAGCACCGGCUAACUACGUG
This 435-nucleotide ribosomal RNA is filed under the name uncultured bacterium. RNAcentral describes it as "partial 16S ribosomal RNA". It matches the Rfam family "Bacterial small subunit ribosomal RNA", at positions 30 to 507 of the family's 1533-position model. The record is from RNAcentral.